Molecule: ribosomal RNA, 193 nt
Filed under: uncultured bacterium
Lineage: Bacteria
Description: partial 16S ribosomal RNA
Rfam family: Bacterial small subunit ribosomal RNA
Source: RNAcentral
CAACUCGCCUGCAUGAAGUCGGAAUUGCUAGUAAUCGCAGAUCAGCAUGCUGUGGUGAAUACGUUCCCGGGCCUUGUACACACCGCCCGUCACACCAUGGGAGUCGGUAACACCCAAAGUUGGUAGUCUAACCGCAAGGAGGACGCCGCCUAAGGUGGGAUUGAUGACUGGGGUGAAGUCGUAACAAGGUACC